This 907-nucleotide long non-coding RNA is filed under the name Pongo abelii (Sumatran orangutan). RNAcentral describes it as "lincRNA". The stretch from base 123 to 257 matches the Rfam family "Myocardial infarction associated transcript exon 1". Lineage: Eukaryota; Metazoa; Chordata; Mammalia; Primates; Hominidae. The record is from RNAcentral.
GGCGGGGGCGGCGGAGUGCUCCCUCCAAGACCGGUUGCACCCCGCUUUCCUGGCCAGGACUCUGGCGCGCUAAGGAGGCGCGGCAGCUACAAAGACGACGCCGGCUGCGCUCGCGGGACCAGAGGGAGGGAGGCUGCGGACGAGUGCGGGGAGGAGUUUGAGAUGGGAGGCGCUUGCAGGGGCUCCCCCAGUUCUGCGCUGUGAGCCGGGGCACAAAGAGCCCUCUGCACUCGCGCCGCAGGACCGCGGACCCAAGUUGGAGGCAUCUGUCCACCCAUGUGGUUCCAGACACGUUCAUGUGGCCACCAAGACCCCGUCGGCAUCACAGGAGUAACCAAGGUCCACAGAGCCAGGGGAAAGGGUCACUGUGGAUCAAGCCAGGCUCCUCUGAGCAGUCCAGGGUCUAUUUACAGAGAGCAGCAAGUUCCUGGGACAGAGGAGAGAGAAGGGAAUUUCCAGGUUCUUCAGGACGUUCACAACCACACUGAGAAGCAUCUUUGCAGAUAAGUAUUUAAACUUACCAGCCCAUAGCCUACCAGCCUGCCCUCUUCUGGUCUGUGCAGGAAAGUGUAGUAUCCUAGAAUACCAAAGUGGGAGGGGAAACGGGUGAUGUAGCUCAUUCUCUUUUCUACCUCUAUGGAAGAAAGAAAGAGCCUGUCCCCAUUUUGUGGGGUCCCAGAAAGGGUGAUUUUUCACACUCCACAUUUGGCAUUAGGGCUAGUAUUUUAUAAACGUCACUGUAUGGAACUUUUGAAGGCUGAGUUAAAUGACUUCAUCUUGUGUACUUGUAGAACUGCUAUUAGAAGGAGGCUGGGGACUCCCUGAUGAUGUGAACCAGCCCUUCUCUUCUCAGUUUUAGCAUUUUGUGAUCAUAUUUAUAAACCUCGGCUAGGGCUCCUUGGCCUUA